RNAcentral lists this transfer RNA (73 nucleotides) under Pollicipes pollicipes. RNAcentral's name for it is "tRNA-Val". It matches the Rfam family "tRNA". Rfam says of the family: Transfer RNA (tRNA) molecules are approximately 80 nucleotides in length. Their secondary structure includes four short double-helical elements and three loops (D, anti-codon, and T loops). Lineage: Eukaryota; Metazoa; Arthropoda; Thecostraca; Pollicipedomorpha; Pollicipedidae. The record is from RNAcentral.
GUUUCCGUAGUGUAGUGGUUAUCACGUCCGCUUUACACGCGGAAGGUCCCCGGUUCGAGCCCGAGCGGAAACA